The sequence is a transfer RNA, 95 nucleotides long. It matches the Rfam family "tRNA". From Rfam's summary of the family: Transfer RNA (tRNA) molecules are approximately 80 nucleotides in length. Their secondary structure includes four short double-helical elements and three loops (D, anti-codon, and T loops).
GCGUUUGUGGUUUAGUGGUAAAAUCCAUCGUUGCCAUUUAUUCUCCUGGGUGAAUCAGUUUCGAUGGGCCCCGGGUUCGAUUCCCGGCGAACGCA